GAUCAUGGCUCAGGAUGAACGCUAGCUACAGGCUUAACACAUGCAAGUCGAGGGGCAUCAGUUUGGUUUGCUUGCAAACCAAAGCUGGCGACCGGCGCACGGGUGAGUAACACGUAUCCAACCUACCGGUUAUUCCGGGAUAGCCUUUCGAAAGAAAGAUUAAUACCGGAUAGUAUAACGAGAAGGCAUCUUCUUGUUAUUAAAGAAUUUCGAUAACCGAUGGGGAUGCGUUCCAUUAGUUUGUUGGCGGGGUAACGGCCC
This 261-nucleotide ribosomal RNA is filed under the name uncultured bacterium. RNAcentral describes it as "partial 16S ribosomal RNA". It matches the Rfam family "Bacterial small subunit ribosomal RNA", at positions 15 to 266 of the family's 1533-position model. The record is from RNAcentral.